AUUGAACGCUGGCGGCAUGCCUUACACAUGCAAGUCGAACGGCAGCACGGGUGCUUGCACCUGGUGGCGAGUGGCGAACGGGUGAGUAAUAUGUCUGAACGUACCUUAUUGUGGGGGAUAACGCAGCGAAAGCUGUGCUAAUACCGCAUAAUCCCUAAGGGGGAAAGCGGGGGGCCGUAAGGGCUCGCGAAAUGAGAGGGGCCGGUACCGGAAUAGCUAGGUGGUGAGGUAAAGGCUCACCAAGGCAACCAUCAGUAGCUGGUCUGAGAGGACGAUCAGCCACACUGGGACUGAGACACGGCCCAGACUCCUACGGGAGGCAGCAGUGGGGAAUUUUGGACAAUGGGGGCAACCCUGAUCCAGCAAUGCCGCGUGAGUGAAGAAGGCCUUCGGGUUGUAAAGCUCUUUUGUCAGGGAAGAAACAGCAGCUCUAACACAGUUUGCGAAUGACGGUACCUGAAGAAUAAGCACCGGCUAACUACGUGCCAGCAGCCGCGGUAA
RNAcentral lists this ribosomal RNA (501 nucleotides) under uncultured bacterium. RNAcentral's name for it is "partial 16S ribosomal RNA". It matches the Rfam family "Bacterial small subunit ribosomal RNA", at positions 29 to 523 of the family's 1533-position model. The record is from RNAcentral.